CAGGCCCAGGGGUGUCCGCAUCCCUCCGUGGAGGAGGAUGCCUCCCACGGGGCUCGAGGCGACUCAGGGUGCAGCCCUUGAGCCACAGGUACUUUAGUCUUCAGCAUGCAGCCCCCCGGCCAGCGCCAGCGCCAGAGCCAGAGCCCAGGCCGGUCCCGGCUGGGAGCGGAGCACCUGCUGGGGGAGCGGAGAGUCGGGAAUCCACGUGCAGACUCCAGUCCAGCGAAGCUGGUGCUUGAGGAUCACCGAUUCAGUGCCGGUUCAGAGAGUCUUGAGCCUUCAGUGCCCCGGGAAGCUCCUGCUAGUUAUCUUUGCCUGGUGGUGCCUGCCGCAACAGCUGCUCCAGUAUUGUCUGACCAGCGUCUCCUCGCCAGCACUCCUAAAACGGUCUUCCAGGAAUUUGUGACCAUUAGACCUCAUCUUCUCUUCGGGUGCCCUGGUGAACAGACGUUCUCCCAGUUCCUGAUGCGCAACCCUUAGAUACCCCUUUCAAGCAGCCCUGACAUCAUUCUCUGGCUUCCGGUUAAAAGGGGCCAUGCUCAUGUUUCUUUCAGCUUCACCGUUUCCUUUCUGGCAUCGACUUGACCACCAAGGCAGGUACAGCAAAUAAAGCAUGAUGGCAACAAUCAAGCUUGUCCCAGUUGAUGCCAAGCCAACAUGUUCCUACACUGCCUUGGGGGGAUUCUGGUCUCUUUGCUUCAUUUUGUUCUGCACUUCUGCUGAGCUUGCCCAUGCAGUGCCUUGCCCUGUCGGCUGUGAGGGUGCUUUUUGUCACACAGACACCUGAUCAUUAGGAACCAGACCUAGACUGACCUGAUUCACUUUGCACAUGGACAGGACCACCUGAUUUCCAGGGGACCACCACAGAGCUUUCAGGUGGAAACAACUAUCUCAUGAUAGUUGAUCUGGCACCCAGUCCCCUGAACCAGCUGUAUCUGUCUGCCUACAGCCUUUGCAACUGCACAUACUACAAAGCAGCUUUCAGGGUCAGCACCUGAUUAAACAAUGCAAGUCCUCUGCUUUUAAUGUAAAAGCACAGUGCCAGGUGAGCCUGUUGGCAAGGGGAGAGAAGCAGGUGCUCUGAGGUUACAAGAUGGCAUUUAUCUUCCAGAGGGAGGAGGAGGUAGGAAGGGAGCCAUCUGUCUGACACCAGGCCUUUCCGUCCACACCCCUGGUGGAUAUCCAGCCGCUGGCAGUGUCCCAAGCAGAAGCAGCAGGAAAGCUCCUGGUUGGCAAUAGAGCCAGAGACAGGUCUCUUCCUUCAGCAGAGGCAAAGGCAGAGACUUCAUGCUUUCACUUGGGAUGUCUCCCUUGAUGGCUUAGCUCAGCAGAGCCACACAGAAAACAAAUAACUUCUACCCAUGUAGUAGUGGAGAAACAACAGGAGAGAGAAGUAACAUUCCUACCACUUGAAGCUGCUUUGCUGUUCUCUAGGGCCUGUGGGUAUCAGUACAGUCACCCAGAGUCAGGACGUGACAUCCAACGACACAGUACCGGAGACAGCUCCCAUGACAAUGGCAUAGGGUACAAGCACAUCUACCUUCCUGUCAAGCCAGUGACUGCACCAGAGUGUAAAGUUAUCCAGGGCAGCUAUAACCAAGCCAGCCUGGGUCCUGGUAGCAGCUUGGCUGUGGCAUUACACUGCUAAUUCACUCUUCUCGGCAGGGUAAAGGAGCCUGCUGAGAAGCUUCUUGCUGCCUAUGGCUAGGCUGCUUGCGGGGCCUGAGCUAACUCAUUUUACACCAGCUCAAUCAUGCUACGCUGUCCUGCAGUCCCUGCAAUCACCAGAGAGAUAUGCAGAGGUGGGAAAAACUAGAGGGGAUGAUUUAAAAAUGAACAGCCCCCCAAGCAAAGGUUCCCUCUAAUGAGAGAAGCAGGAAGACUAGAGACCCUCAGAGACAUACCUGGGUCCUUGUAAUGCUUUAACAUCCCUGGAAGCACCUGGGCCCUGGUUCUUAAAAGUAUUUGACCACCAACUCCUAUACUAUAGCAACAGGCACUGCAGAAACCCCUGAUGUAAUCAGGUGGAGACAGGCACAAAGACAGGCAGGGGGAGACCAAGGUGUGAGCACCACAGAUACACAGACCCCAGAGUGAGGGGAAGGUAAUGGCCCACUACAACUAUUUCCAGCUGACUUUUUAUUGCACAGUUCCCCUAUUUCAUACCUCCCCUGCUGGGUCCUUUCCAUCCUGCUCCAUCCCCAGGAUGCAUUCUGAGCCUAUGCCCUCUGUGAUGCUCUCUCCAUUUUUGUGAUGGCCACAAAGCAGGCCCUCUUAUGCCAAGAGCAAAGCUCUCUGUGCUACCCUGGCCAGAGCCCUCCUCCAGGUGGGGAAGGGAGGGCACAUCUGGCUGGAUUUGCUUUAUGUGCUGCCAAGGUCUUUCAUGCAGCUACACGGACUGCACAGACAGGCAGGAGAGCUAGAAGCAAACAGGAAAAGGCAGUUUCUCUGGCUUUCUAUUUUUAACGCUACAAACAGUUUUAGUGUCAUUAUAUUUAGAAAAAAUAAAACAGAGUGCUUCCUGCCUCCCUUUUCAACACCUUCAGCUAUUUCCGUGCAGAUGUUUCAUGGGGCCAGUGCUGGAGGCAAGGGGAGAGAGGUCUCCUGACUGACAGACGUGUCCCUGUGAGGUGGAGGCUGCCCUAAGAGAAGAUCCACAGACAAGUUACCCUGUGAUUCUUCCUUCUUUACAGUCAGGGCAGGGUCUAAUGAGCUGUCCCUGUCCCCAGGAGUCCCCAAUAAAGAAGUGCAUCUUCCUCCAAGUUUCCAGUGUCCUUGGGAGUCACCAGUAAAGAAAUGCAUCUUCUUCCAGGUUUCCAGCACCAACAGGGUGGGGCAGCUAAAGGGCCUUUCUCUUGUUACUGGAGUGAGGAUGAAGGAUGCACCCAGAUCAUUACAGAUG
Alligator mississippiensis (American alligator) is the source of this 2902-nucleotide long non-coding RNA. RefSeq lists it as uncharacterized. The transcript has 5 exons. The record is from RefSeq and is a predicted model, not a curated record. Lineage: Eukaryota; Metazoa; Chordata; Crocodylia; Alligatoridae.